GAUGACGGAGAACGAGAAGAAAGCUUCGCCGGUUUCCGAUUAGAUCUGGACAUGUUGUGUUAUGGAGGUCUCUGCAGAUCCUAGUGGGAUUAGCAUGUCACCUUUGUAGGAGAGCAGUGUUGAACAAGAUGACAUAAAGGAUCCUUUCGGUGAGGUACAUAAUUCUUUAGCCACUUACAUGCAUACUUAAUCAGGGAUAGCUAAGUAAUUGAAACUGGAAAUUCCAGUAAUUGAGUUUUUCUGUAAAACUCCGCCAGCAUCAAUAGAGCAAGCUUGUAAGUUUUUUGUAUUUUGAUGUAGUCAGAUACUGUUCAUUACUCUUGUCACUCGUUCUGUAAUCAGAUUAGAAUACU
RNAcentral lists this long non-coding RNA (353 nucleotides) under Helianthus annuus (common sunflower). RNAcentral describes it as "sRNA HanXRQr2_Chr12g0551121". Lineage: Eukaryota; Viridiplantae; Streptophyta; Magnoliopsida; Asterales; Asteraceae. The record is from RNAcentral.